This 629-nucleotide ribosomal RNA is filed under the name Debaryomyces sp. Its description in RNAcentral is "partial large subunit ribosomal RNA". It matches the Rfam family "Eukaryotic large subunit ribosomal RNA", at positions 27 to 664 of the family's 3401-position model. The record is from RNAcentral. Lineage: Eukaryota; Fungi; Ascomycota; Pichiomycetes; Serinales; Debaryomycetaceae.
UUUUUUUAAAAAAACACAAAAAGGAGGAAAAGAAACCAACAGGGAUUGCCUUAGUAACGGCGAGUGAAGCGGCAAAAGCUCAAAUUUGAAAUCUGGCACCUUCGGUGUCCGAGUUGUAAUUUGAAGAAGGUAACUUUGGAGUUGGCUCUUGUCUAUGUUCCUUGGAACAGGACGUCACAGAGGGUGAGAAUCCCGUGCGAUGAGAUGCCCAAUUCUAUGUAAAGUGCUUUCGAAGAGUCGAGUUGUUUGGGAAUGCAGCUCUAAGUGGGUGGUAAAUUCCAUCUAAAGCUAAAUAUUGGCGAGAGACCGAUAGCGAACAAGUACAGUGAUGGAAAGAUGAAAAGAACUUUGAAAAGAGAGUGAAAAAGUACGUGAAAUUGUUGAAAGGGAAGGGCUUGAGAUCAGACUUGGUAUUUUGCGAUCCUUUCCUUCUUGGUUGGGUUCCUCGCAGCUUACUGGGCCAGCAUCGGUUUGGAUGGUAGGAUAAUGACUAAGGAAUGUGGCUCUACUUCGGUGGAGUGUUAUAGCCUUGGUUGAUACUGCCUGUCUAGACCGAGGACUGCGUCUUUUGACUAGGAUGUUGGCAUAAUGAUCUUAAGCCACCCGUCUAAAAAAGNGGGGGGAAACAA